RNAcentral lists this unclassified non-coding RNA (518 nucleotides) under Hevea brasiliensis (rubber tree). Lineage: Eukaryota; Viridiplantae; Streptophyta; Magnoliopsida; Malpighiales; Euphorbiaceae. The record is from RNAcentral.
UAAAGAAGUUACAUAAAAUAUAAUAGCUUUAGUGAUAAUUUCAAAAAAUACGUUGUGGUUUUGCAAUUUAUCACUUAAGGGGAAAAAAAGUCUGUUAUUCAUCAAAUAGGUACACUGUGGUUUCGUGAUCUUACUUUGUCCCUUACUCCAUCUAACACCAUUAGUCAUCCGUAAUUAAAUUAAGUGGAUGCCACGUUAGCAUGCGGUUGACAGGAGGAGGGACAAAGUAAUGGCACAAAACCACAUGGUACCUAUUUGACAAAAAGCAAGCUUUUAUCCCUUAAGUGAUAAAGUGCAAAAUCAUACUUUUUUGAAAUUAUCACACAGCUUUAUUAUAUGAAAUCACAAUAGAACAUUGCCAAUGUUUGAAUUAAAAAAGGAAAAAUUCAUAGCAUAUUUCUUUGGAAAGAAAAUCUGUUUCCUUGAUUACAAAUUGAAUGUCAUCUAUAAGCAAGAAAAAUGAAAGUUUCUUGUCCUAGACAUUUACCAUUUUUAAUUAAUAAACUUUAAAAAAAAAA